GUGCCAGCCGCCGCGGUAAUACGGGGGGGGCAAGCGUUGUUCGGAAUUACUGGGCGUAAAGGGUUCGUAGGUGGCUUGCUAAGUCAGACGUGAAAUCCCUCAGCUUAACUGGGGAACUGCGUCUGAGACUGGCGAGCUUGAGUGCAGGAGAGGAACGCGGAAUUCCAGGUGUAGCGGUGAAAUGCGUAGAUAUCUGGAGGAACACCGGUGGCGAAGGCGGCGUUCUGGACUGUAACUGACACUGAUGAACGAAAGCCAGGGGAGCAAACGGGAUUAGAUACCCUCGUAGUCC
Molecule: ribosomal RNA, 292 nt
Filed under: uncultured bacterium
Lineage: Bacteria
Description: partial 16S ribosomal RNA
Rfam family: Bacterial small subunit ribosomal RNA
Source: RNAcentral